UUAGUGGGAGACAGGCAGCUAAUGAC
Molecule: non-coding RNA, 26 nt
Filed under: Homo sapiens (human)
Lineage: Eukaryota; Metazoa; Chordata; Mammalia; Primates; Hominidae
Source: RNAcentral